ACUCCUACGGGAGGCAGCAGUGGGGAAUAUUGGACAAUGGGCGAAAGCCUGAUCCAGCCAUGCCGCGUGUGUGAAGAAGGUCUUCGGAUUGUAAAGCACUUUAAGUUGGGAGGAAGGGCAGUAAAUUAAUACUUUUGCUGUUUUGUACGUUACCGACAGAAUAAGCACCGGCUAACUCUGUGCCAGCAGCCGCGGUAAUACAGAGGGUGCAAGCGUUAAUCGGAAUUACUGGGCGUAAAGCGCGCGUAGGUGGUUUGUUAAGUUUGGAUGUGAAAUCCCGGGCUCAACCUGGGAACUGCAUUCAAAACUGACUGACUAGAGUAUGGUAGAGGGUGGUGGGAAUUUCCUGUGUAGCGGUGAAAAUGCGUAGAUAUAGGAAGGAACACCAGUGGCGAAGGCGACCACCUGGACUAAUACUGACACUGAGGUGCGAAAGCGU
This 439-nucleotide ribosomal RNA is filed under the name uncultured bacterium. Its description in RNAcentral is "bacterial SSU rRNA". It matches the Rfam family "Bacterial small subunit ribosomal RNA", at positions 335 to 762 of the family's 1533-position model. The record is from RNAcentral.